RNA transcript from Rosa chinensis, 2908 nucleotides. It is a transcript of the gene named mannosyltransferase APTG1, with no coding region annotated. NCBI's taxonomy places the organism in Eukaryota, Viridiplantae, Streptophyta, Magnoliopsida, Rosales, Rosaceae. The record is from RefSeq and is a predicted model, not a curated record. The transcript is spliced from 10 exons.
ACUUUCUCCUUCGAUGUAAUUACAUUACAGUGAUUACACCAUCUUUCUGUCUCGGCGAUUCUACAUGCGCCUUAUGCGCAGCUCCUGGUUUAAUAAUUUACUCAAACUCUCGGAACAAAACUAGCUCAUUCGAGAUCAAGUUAUACUCAUUCGAUCUUUUGCCUUGCUGAUACAACAGAUUGCAAUGAGGCAAAGACAGAGUUCUGCAGUUUCAUCAUCAGCAAACGCAAACAGAACCCAAAACCCAAUUCCUACAAAAUCACAACAACAAAAAAAGGAAGGUCCACAAUUCGAUCUGCUAGCCUCACCCAAGAACAUUUAUCUCUUCUGCUUGGCCUUUCGAAUGUUAAAUGCUCUGUUGGUUCAGACCUAUUUCAACCCAGAUGAGCACUGGCAAGCUCUUGAAGUUGCUCACCGCAUCACUUUUGGGUUUGGCCAUUUGACGUGGGAGUGGAAGAAGGGGAUUCGGAGCUACUUGCAUCCUUUGCUCUUUGCUUUCCUUUACAAAGUGCUUGCCUUGUUAGGUCUUGAUACCCCAUGGUUCAUGGUCAAGGCACCUCGGCUAUUCCAGUCCCUAUUCUCUGCAUUUGGUGAUUUAUACCUGUACAAAUUCUCUGUCAUCCUCUUUGGCGACCAGGUUGCAAAAUGGGCUCUUUUUUCCCAAUUGACAAAUUGGUUUAUGUUUUUCUGUCUCACUCGUACAUUAUCGAAUAGUCUGGAGACUGUUCUUACCAUUGUGAGCUUGUACUACUGGCCCUGUAUCAGGCCUUCUUCCAGCAAACUUCCGUUGGAAUCUAGAAAGUGGGGUUUGCUUAUUGCUGCAUUAGCUUGUGCUAUUCGACCAACAAGUGCCAUCAUAUGGCUUUAUGUUGGGGUCCUUGAGCUAUUUGUGUCACGCGAUAAACUCAGAUUCAUAUUUUUGGAGGUAGCUCCUAUUGGGGUCCUGGUGCUUGGGCUUACAUUUUUAAUAGAUCGAUUGAUGUACGGCUCAUGGGUCUUAGUACCUCUUAAUUUCCUAAGAUUCAAUUUUCUUUCCUCUGGUGGAGAUUAUUAUGGAACUCACAAGUGGCACUGGUACUUCACUCAGGGAUUUUCUGUCAUGGUAUUUUCUUUUUUACCAUUUUCUAUAGCUGGCAUCUUGCAGUCGAAACAAUGGAAGCUUUCUGGCCUUAUUGCAUGGGUUCUGGUACUUUAUAGUGUACUAGGCCACAAAGAAUUCAGGUUUGUUUUGCCUGUGCUUCCUAUAGCUUUGAUAUUCUCUGGAUACUCUUUAACCGCAUUAAAAACAUCAGUUUCUGGAAAUGGUCAAAGGAAGAAAUUGGCAGAUUACCAUAAUAAAUUCUCUGCAAAAAUGCUGUUGGCCAUCUUUUUCUUGCUCGCUACCAAUAUUCCAAUGGCCUUGUAUAUGAGUUUGGUUCAUCAGAGAGGAACUGAAGAUGUUACUUACUAUCUGUCCAAUGAAGUGGUCGAGGGAAAAGUAACAGACAUACUUUUUCUAAUGCCUUGCCACGCCACACCUUACUACUCUACUUUGCACCGAAACCUUCCAAUGCGAUUUCUAGACUGCACACCGAGUGAAGAGAAAGGAAUCCCAGACGAAUCAGAUCAAUUCAUGAUGGAUCCUGUAGGGUUUGCAUCAGAAUUUGCAAAAAAUUGGUCUUUACCGAGUCAUAUUGUAUUAUUUGAUUCGGAAGAAAAGAAGUUACGGGAUUUUCUAGUCUCCCAUUCUUUCAAAGAGAUACAAAGAUUUUUCCAUGCUCACUUCAAAGUGGAUCGUGAUCUUCAAGCAUCAGUCGUUGUAUAUGCUUUGACAGGCUCCUGAUUAUUGUUUAUGCACUGAUAUAAUUGGCAAAGAAGUUAUUGGCUUCAGUUGUUCCUCAACUAGCGAAAUCCCCAUAGCUUGGACUAAUUGGUGACGUGCUUGCCUCAGUGGAGAUCAACUUCAGAUCUUCUUAAUUGAUCGUAUCUAUUGUUAUUGACAUCAAGUGACAAUUGCAAAUGGUUACUGCUAUUUCUUCACCAGUAAUAAUUGCAUAUGCUUUUUGAUUGUUUUACCAGUCAUUUUAAUUUAUGUGCACAUGGACAAUUAUCAGAGACUUAAGAAAAUAAUAUACACAAGUCCAAGAAAAAAGAAUUACAACUACUUGGUAGAAAUGAUAGAAGUUAUCUAAUGUGCAUAAUGUUAAGUUGGAAAUUGUUGUAGGAGCUGGUAGAGGUGAUUGAUUAAAUCCAGAAUCCUUUUUUUAUGCAUUAAACCAAACUGGAGAAGGAUAGGAUAUUUACAUGUUGCAGCUGCAGCUGUGAGGGUUAAGAUAUCACUUGCACUUGUGCUACUCAUGGCUGAACCUAUUACACUGCUGAUCUGUUCCUUCUUUGCUCCCAUUGCUUCUGCAACUUUUGCACACUGGGCUGCCACCAGAGCAGCUGCAGAAGCCACAGCUCCUUCCUUAGCAGUGCUCUCAUUCUUUCCAGAGCUUUCAGCCGCAAUGGCAGCAAGCGCUGCUGCCACACCUGCCAUAGAUAUAGCUGCAUGGACUUCAGCUCUUUGCAACCUGUGUUCCUCUUUCCGCCUUUCUUUAAUCUCCUUCAGCCACUUCUUGAUCGACAUGUUCUUGAAUGGCACUAUCUUCCAUGACAGCUGCAAUGUAAUAUAAUUCUUUGCUAAAGCAUUUUCUUUAUAAAAAAUUCAGCAGUGAAUACACACUAUCAUAUAUAGAGAAAGAUGUCGUGUAAUACAAAUUACUAACCCAUUUCUUUCGGAAAUAGCUGUUGUAGUUCAAUUCUGGAUGCAUGGCUUGUUGCAUCCAUAUCCAUGACUAAAGAAGAAAGACAAACAGAUUUUGGUUUACUUAUCAAUGAAAUAUCAUAAGCAAAUGAUGUUCUGUCACCAAAAAUGGCAGGUUGUCGA